CGUAGGGUGCGAGCGUUAAUCGGAAUUACUGGGCGUAAAGGGUGCGCAGGCGGUUAUAUAAGACAGAUGUGAAAUCCCCGGGCUCAACCUGGGAACUGCGUUUGUGACUGUAUGACUAGAGUACGGUAGAGAGGGGUGGAAUUCCUGGUGUAGCAGUGAAAUGCGUAGAUAUCAGGAGGAACAUCGAUGGCGAAGGCAGCCCCUUGGACCUGUACUGACGCUCAUGCACGAAAGCGUGGGGAGCAAACAGGAUUAGAUACCCUGGUAGUCCACGCCCUAAACGAUGAUCACUAGUUGUUCGGAAAGGUGACUUUCUGAGUAACGUAGCUAACGCGUGAAGUGAUCCGCCUGGGGAGUACGGUCGCAAGAUUA
This 372-nucleotide ribosomal RNA is filed under the name uncultured organism. RNAcentral describes it as "bacterial SSU rRNA". It matches the Rfam family "Bacterial small subunit ribosomal RNA", at positions 526 to 896 of the family's 1533-position model. The record is from RNAcentral.